UUUCCGUAGGUGAACCUGCGGAAGGAUCAUUAGUGAAUUGAAGAUGUUAGCGGACCGUUUCGGAGUCGCGAGCACCAAAUCACAUCCAUAACCCCUGUGAACUGUAAGUCUGCCUUGUAAACGAAAGUGAUUAGAGCGCCCGCCCACUUUAUAGAAACAUUAAUGAAACAAACGUAGACUUAUUUUAAUCUAAUAAAACUUUCAAUAACGGAUUUCCUGGCUCUCGCAUCGUUGAAGUACGAAGAAGAUAUGAAGAGCAUACGUCUGAAAUCCAGACAC
RNAcentral lists this unclassified non-coding RNA (279 nucleotides) under plant metagenome. RNAcentral describes it as "partial contains small subunit ribosomal RNA, internal transcribed spacer 1, and 5.8S ribosomal RNA". The record is from RNAcentral.